AAGUCGUAACAAGGUUUCCGUAGGUGAACCUGCGGAAGGAUCAUUAAAGAAUACCUGGACUCCGGUCCUCGUCGAGAAAGGUCGUCCCGGGUGGCCUCCAGGUCCCGGGCUUCCCCCUCCUACCUCUUUACUCUACCUCUGUUGCUUGGCACACGCUCCAUGGCCCCGGGUAGGUUGCCGGCUUGGCUCUGGCCCGGAAAGGCCCAACUCGUGGAUAGUCUAUGUUUGUCUGAGUACGAUAUAAUCGUUUACAA
RNAcentral lists this unclassified non-coding RNA (254 nucleotides) under plant metagenome. RNAcentral's name for it is "partial contains small subunit ribosomal RNA and internal transcribed spacer 1". The stretch from base 1 to 46 matches the Rfam family "Eukaryotic small subunit ribosomal RNA", at positions 1786 to 1831 of the family's 1831-position model. The record is from RNAcentral.